UCCGGUUGAUCCUGCCGGACCCGACUGCUAUCAGAGUGGGACUAAGCCAUGCGAGUCAACAUAGCAAUAUGUGGCAUACGGCUCAGUAACACGUAGUCAACAUGCCCAGGGGACGUGGAUAACCUCGGGAAACUGAGGAUAAACCGCGAUAGGCCAUCACUUCUGGAAUGGGUAAUGACUUAAAUCUAUAUGGCCCCUGGAUUGGACUGCGGCCGAUCAGGCUGUUGGUGAGGUAAUGGCCCACCAAACCUGUAACCGGUACGGGCUCUGAGAGGAGGAGCCCGGAGAUGGGCACUGAGACAAGGGCCCAGGCCCUAUGGGGCGCAGCAGGCGCGAAACCUCUGCAAUAGGCGAAAGCUUGACAGGGUUACUCUGAGUGAUUUCCGUUAAGGAGAUCUUUUGGCACCUCUAAAAAUGGUGCAGAAUAAGGGGUGGGCAAGUCUGGUGUCAGCCGCCGCGGUAAUACCAGCACCCCGAGUGGUCGGGACGUUUAUUGGGCCUAAAGCAUCCGUAGCCGGUUCUACAAGUCUUCCGUUAAAUCCACCUGCUUAACAGAUGGGCUGCGGAAGAUACUAUAGAGCUAGGAGGCGGGAGAGGCAAGCGGUACUCGAUGGGUAGGGGUAAAAUCCGUUGAUCCAUUGAAGACCACCAGUGGCGAAGGCGGCUUGCCAGAACGCGCUCGACGGUGAGGGAUGAAAGCUGGGGGAGCAAACCGGAUUAGAUACCCGGGUAGUCCCAGCUGUAAACGAUGCAGACUCGGUGAUGAGUUGGCUUAUUGCUAACUCAGUGCCGCAGGGAAGCCGUUAAGUUUGCCGCCUGGGGAGUACGGUCGCAAGACUGAAACUUAAAGGAAUUGGCGGGGGAGCACCACAAGGGGUGAAGCCUGCGGUUCAAUUGGAGUCAACGCCGGAAAUCUUACCGGGGGCGACAGCAGAGUGAAGGUCAAGCUGAAGACUUUACCAGACAAGCUGAGAGGAGGUGCAUGGCCGUCGCCAGCUCGUGCCGUGAGGUGUCCUGUUAAGUCAGGUAACGAGCGAGACCCA
RNAcentral lists this ribosomal RNA (1043 nucleotides) under unidentified archaeon. Its description in RNAcentral is "bacterial SSU rRNA". It matches the Rfam family "Archaeal small subunit ribosomal RNA", at positions 1 to 1054 of the family's 1478-position model. The record is from RNAcentral.